RNAcentral lists this non-coding RNA (95 nucleotides) under human gut metagenome. RNAcentral's name for it is "SAM riboswitch (S box leader)". It matches the Rfam family "SAM riboswitch aptamer (S box leader)". Rfam says of the family: The SAM riboswitch is found upstream of a number of genes which code for proteins involved in methionine or cysteine biosynthesis in Gram-positive bacteria. The SAM riboswitch acts at the level of transcription termination control. The record is from RNAcentral.
CCUUAUUAAGAGUAGCUGAGGGAACAGGCCCUUUGAAGCUCGGCAACCUGCGUUAAGCAAGGUGCUAAUUCCUGCGGUAUGACCGAAAGAUAAGG